UUUUAUUUAUGUUGUGAAAAAAAUGCUAUCAGUUUGAAAAGUUCAAUUGUUUCCAAAUUGUUAAAAUGAGUCCCUAUCAAUCAUCAAAUGUUUUUUUGUAUCUGCAUCAAAUAAUUUUGGAUCUUAUGCAUUCUCAAGGUAUCAUCCCUAUCUCAGGGCUUCCAUAUGUGUUUCUUGUAUAGUCUAUUGUUUUGUUUUAUUUUAGUUGAUCAACAACUUAUAUAGCACAAGGUAAGUAUUAUGUCAUCCCCAUUUAUAGAUGAAAAAUCUCUGAUACAGAGUGGGUAAAUAAUUUUUAAAAUGUGAGCCCACCUUAUUUUAGUAAUAAGACUUCCUAUCCAUCUUCUUACUUGCUCAAACCAGAAUGCUGAAGAACCAACAAGUCAAAAUGUGAAAGUUGUGCCAUAAGGUAAGAAAAAAAUAAAUAUGUGAUGAAAAAGAAAAAAGAAAGGAAACAGCAGCAGCAAACAGUCUAAAACAGCAAAGAAAUUUGUCGGGGGCCAAACAUAAGAAUUUUAAGAUGAAAUGUGGCAAUAAAAUGCAAAUAAGAAAUAACACAAAGAAAUUGUGAAAGCUUAAGGAAAAAAAGAGGAUAAUGGAAUGAAAGAAG
RNAcentral lists this long non-coding RNA (610 nucleotides) under Homo sapiens (human). RNAcentral's name for it is "HSALNT0011296". The record is from RNAcentral. Lineage: Eukaryota; Metazoa; Chordata; Mammalia; Primates; Hominidae.